Molecule: ribosomal RNA, 519 nt
Filed under: uncultured bacterium
Lineage: Bacteria
Description: partial 16S ribosomal RNA
Rfam family: Bacterial small subunit ribosomal RNA
Source: RNAcentral
AACGAACGCUGGCGGCGCGCCUAACACAUGCAAGUCGAACGCGAAAGUGUAGCAAUACAUGAGUAAAGUGGCGCACGGGUGAGUAACGCGUAGGUAAUCUAGCUUUGUGACCGGGAUAACCAGCCGAAGGGUUGGCUAAUACUGGAUAGAGCGCAUGACCUGUAAGGGGUUGUGCGGGAAAGGGUGGCGUAGCAAUACGCUAUUGCACUGAGAUGAGCCUGCGUCUCAUUAGCUAGUUGGUAGGGUAACGGCCUACCAAGGCUAUGAUGGGUAGCUGUGCUGGGAGGACGAUCAGCCACACUGGAACAGAAACACGGUCCAGACUCCUACGGGAGGCAGCAGUGGGGAAUCUUGCGCAAUGGGCGAAAGCCUGACGCAGCGACGCCGUGUGGGUGAAGAAGGCCUUCGGGUUGUAAAGCCCUGUUGAGUGGGAAAAACGUCAUCUGGAAUAAUACGCCAGGUGAGUGAUGGUACCACUAGAGGAAGCACCGGCUAACUCCGUGCCAGCAGCCGCAGUAA